This 428-nucleotide ribosomal RNA is filed under the name uncultured archaeon. RNAcentral describes it as "bacterial SSU rRNA". It matches the Rfam family "Archaeal small subunit ribosomal RNA", at positions 474 to 902 of the family's 1478-position model. The record is from RNAcentral.
UACCUGCAGCUCUAGUGGUGUCCGCUAUUAUUGGGCCUAAAACGUCCGUAGCCGGCUUAUUAAAUGCCUGGGUAAAUCGUACGGCUUAACCGUACGAAUUCCGGGUAGACUGAUAAGCUUGGGACCGGGAGAAGCUAGAGGUACUCCUGGGGUAGAGGUGAAAUUUUGUAAUCCUAGGGGGACCACCAGUGGCGAAGGCGUCUAGCUAGAACGGGUUUGACGGUGAGGGACGAAGCCCUGGGGAGCAAACGGGAUUAGAUACCCCGGUAGUCCAGGGUGUAAACGCUGCUUGCUUGAUGUUAGUCGGGCUCCGAGCCCGAUUAGUGUCGGAGAGAAGUUGUUAAGCAAGCUGCCUGGGAAGUACGGCCGCAAGACUGAAACUUAAAGGAAUUGGCGGGGGAGCACUGCAACGGGUGGAGCGUGCGGUU